Molecule: unclassified non-coding RNA, 241 nt
Filed under: Glomeraceae sp.
Lineage: Eukaryota; Fungi; Glomeromycota; Glomeromycetes; Glomerales; Glomeraceae
Description: partial contains 5.8S ribosomal RNA and internal transcribed spacer 2
Rfam family: 5.8S ribosomal RNA (bases 1-65)
Source: RNAcentral
GUGAAUCAUCAAAUCUUUGAACGCAAAUUGCACUCUCUUCGGAGAGUAUGCCUGUUUGAGGGUCAGCCUAAAAAAAUCAACAUCGUUGCUGUUUCACAUUGGCGUUCGUCGGAAAUUGGGUUAUCUUAAAUCUUUGGUUUAAGCGACUUAAAAUUUUCUUUACGAUUCCAUGAACGUUCCUAGGAUUUAUUUCUUAACACGUUUAAGGUAUCGUUUUUAUUUAGCCUUGGCCGUAAUAUCG